Molecule: ribosomal RNA, 400 nt
Filed under: uncultured bacterium
Lineage: Bacteria
Description: bacterial SSU rRNA
Rfam family: Bacterial small subunit ribosomal RNA
Source: RNAcentral
UGGGGAAUAUUGGACAAUGGGGGCAACCCUGAUCCAGCAAUGCCGCGUGAGUGAUGAAGGCCUUCGGGUUGUAAAGCUCUUUUGGCGGGGACGAUGAUGACGGUACCCGCAGAAUAAGCCCCGGCUAACUCCGUGCCAGCAGCCGCGGUAAUACGGAGGGGGCUAGCGUUGUUCGGAAUGACUGGGCGUAAAGCGCGCGUAGGCGGAUCAUCAAGUCGGGGGUGAAAUCCCGGGGCUCAACCCCGGAACGGCCUUCGAGACUGGUGGUCUUGAGUUCGAGAGAGGUGGGUGGAAUUCCGAGUGUAGAGGUGAAAUUCGUAGAUAUUCGGAGGAACACCAGUGGCGAAGGCGGCCCACUGGCUCGACACUGACGCUGAGGCGCGAAAGCGUGGGGAGCAAA